GUGCUCGCUUCAGCGGCACAUAUACUAAAAUUGGAACCAUGUAGAGAAGAUGAGCAUGACCCCUGUGCAAGGAUGACACACCAAUUCAUGAAGCAUUCCAUAUUUAA
This is a small nuclear RNA of Otolemur garnettii (small-eared galago), 107 nucleotides long. NCBI's taxonomy places the organism in Eukaryota, Metazoa, Chordata, Mammalia, Primates, Galagidae. The record is from Ensembl.